AUGAUAGCUUGCUAUCAGGCGUCGAGCGGCGGACGGGUGAGUAAUACUUAGGAAUCUACCUAGUAGUGGGGGAUAGCUCGGGGAAACUCGAAUUAAUACCGCAUACGUCCUACGGGAGAAAGGGGGCAACUUGUUGCUCUCGCUAUUAGAUGAGCCUAAGUCGGAUUAGCUAGAUGGUGGGGUAAAGGCCUACCAUGGCGACGAUCUGUAGCUGGUCUGAGAGGAUGAUCAGCCACACCGGGACUGAGACACGGCCCGGACUCCUACGGGAGGCAGCAGUGGGGAAUAUUGGACAAUGGGGGAAACCCUGAUCCAGCCAUGCCGCGUGUGUGAAGAAGGCCUUUUGGUUGUAAAGCACUUUAAGCAGUGAAGAAGACCUAACGGUUAAUACCCGUUAGCGAUGACAUUAGCUGCAGAAUAAGCACCGGCUAACUCUGUGCCAGCAGCCGCGGUAAUACAGAGGGUGCAAGCGUUAAUCGGAAUUACUGGGCGUAAAGCGAGCGUAGGUGGCUUGAUAAGUCAGAUGUGAAAUCCCCGGGCUUAACCUGGGAACUGCAUCUGAAACUGUUAGGCUAGAGUAGGUGAGAGGGAAGUAGAAUUUCAGGUGUAGCGGUGAAAUGCGUAGAGAUCUGAAGGAAUACCGAUGGCGAAGGCAGCUUCCUGGCAUCAUACUGACACUGAGGCUCGAAAGCGUGGGUAGCAAACAGGAUUAGAUACCCUGGUAGUCCACGCCGUAAACGAUGUCUACUAGUCGUUGGGU
Molecule: ribosomal RNA, 760 nt
Filed under: uncultured bacterium
Lineage: Bacteria
Description: bacterial SSU rRNA
Rfam family: Bacterial small subunit ribosomal RNA
Source: RNAcentral